This 253-nucleotide ribosomal RNA is filed under the name uncultured bacterium. RNAcentral's name for it is "partial 16S ribosomal RNA". It matches the Rfam family "Bacterial small subunit ribosomal RNA", at positions 524 to 776 of the family's 1533-position model. The record is from RNAcentral.
GACAGAGGGUGCAAACGUUGCUCGGAAUCACUGGGCGUAAAGGGCGUGUAGGCGGGAAGGAUAGUCAGAUGUGAAAGCCCUGGGCUCAACCCAGGAACUGCAUUUGAAACUCCCUUUCUUGAGUGUCGGAGAGGAAAGCGGAAUUCCUGGUGUAGAGGUGAAAUUCGUAGAUAUCAGGAGGAACACCGGUGGCGAAGGCGGCUUUCUGGACGACAACUGACGCUGAGACGCAAAAGCGUGGGGAGCAAACAGG